This 1221-nucleotide ribosomal RNA is filed under the name Salmonella enterica subsp. enterica serovar Newport. RNAcentral's name for it is "partial 23S ribosomal RNA". It matches the Rfam family "Bacterial large subunit ribosomal RNA", at positions 413 to 1554 of the family's 2925-position model. The record is from RNAcentral. Lineage: Bacteria; Pseudomonadati; Pseudomonadota; Gammaproteobacteria; Enterobacterales; Enterobacteriaceae.
UAGGGCGGGACACGUGGUAUCCUGUCUGAAUAUGGGGGGACCAUCCUCCAAGGCUAAAUACUCCUGACUGACCGAUAGUGAACCAGUACCGUGAGGGAAAGGCGAAAAGAACCCCGGCGAGGGGAGUGAAAAAGAACCUGAAACCGUGUACGUACAAGCAGUGGGAGCACAGGUUUACCUGUGUGACUGCGUACCUUUUGUAUAAUGGGUCAGCGACUUAUAUUCUGUAGCAAGGUUAACCGAAUAGGGGAGCCGUAGGGAAACCGAGUCUUAACCGGGCGUUAAGUUGCAGGGUAUAGACCCGAAACCCGGUGAUCUAGCCAUGGGCAGGUUGAAGGUUGGGUAACACUAACUGGAGGACCGAACCGACUAAUGUUGAAAAAUUAGCGGAUGACCUGUGGCUGGGGGUGAAAGGCCAAUCAAACCGGGAGAUAGCUGGUUCUCCCCGAAAGCUAUUUAGGUAGCGCCUCGUGAAUUCAUCUCCGGGGGUAGAGCACUGUUUCGGCUAGGGGGCCAUCCCGGCUUACCAACCCGAUGCAAACUGCGAAUACCGGAGAAUGUUAUCACGGGAGACACACGGCGGGUGCUAACGUCCGUCGUGAAGAGGGAAACAACCCAGACCGCCAGCUAAGGUCCCAAAGUCAUGGUUAAGUGGGAAACGAUGUGGGAAGGCCCAGACAGCCAGGAUGUUGGCUUAGAAGCAGCCAUCAUUUAAAGAAAGCGUAAUAGCUCACUGGUCGAGUCGGCCUGCGCGGAAGAUGUAACGGGGCUAAACCAUGCACCGAAGCUGCGGCAGCGAACGUAUCACUUAAAGCGAUUCAGCGGGUUACGAUUGACGGAGCGAAGCGACGUCAAAGCGUAUACAAAGUCGAGUCGGUUUAAGGAUACGUUCGUUGGGUAGGGGAGCGUUCUGUAAGCCUGUGAAGGUGGCCUGUGAGGGUUGCUGGAGGUAUCAGAAGUGCGAAUGCUGACAUAAGUAACGAUAAAGCGGGUGAAAAGCCCGCUCGCCGGAAGACCAAGGGUUCCUGUCCAACGUUAAUCGGGGCAGGGUGAGUCGACCCCUAAGGCGAGGCCGAAAGGCGUAGUCGAUGGGAAACAGGUUAAUAUUCCUGUACUUGGUGUUACUGCGAAGGGGGGACGGAGAAGGCUAUGUUGGCCGGGCGACGGUUGUCCCGGUUUAAGCGUGUAGGCUGGUUUUCCAGGCAAAUCCGGAAAAUCAAG